UAAAUACUCCCUCCGUCCCAAAAUUCUUGUCUUAAAUUUGUCUACAUACGGAUCUAUCUAUUCAUAUUUUAGUGUUAGGUACGUCCGUAUCUAGUAAAUCUAAAACAAGAAUAUUGGGACGAAGGGAGUAUACA
Non-coding RNA from Triticum aestivum (bread wheat), 134 nucleotides. NCBI's taxonomy places the organism in Eukaryota, Viridiplantae, Streptophyta, Magnoliopsida, Poales, Poaceae. The record is from Rfam.